AGUGAACGCUGGCGGUAGGCCUAACACAUGCAAGUCGAACGGCAGCACAGUAAGAGCUUGCUCUUACGGGUGGCGAGUGGCGGACGGGUGAGGAAUACAUCGGAAUCUACUUUUUCGUGGGGGAUAACGUAGGGAAACUUACGCUAAUACCGCAUACGACCUACGGGUGAAAGCAGGGGAUCUUCGGACCUUGCGCGAUUGAAUGAGCCGAUGUCGGAUUAGCUAGUUGGCGGGGUAAAGGCCCACCAAGGCGACGAUCCGUAGCUGGUCUGAGAGGAUGAUCAGCCACACUGGAACUGAGACACGGUCCAGACUCCUACGGGAGGCAGCAGUGGGGAAUAUUGGACAAUGGGCGCAAGCCUGAUCCAGCCAUACCGCGUGGGCGAAGAAGGCCUUCGGGUUGUAAAGCCCUUUUGUUGGGAAAGAAGAGCAGCAGGUUAAUACCCCGCUGUUCUGACGGUACCCAAAGAAUAAGCACCGGCUAACUUCGUG
This 492-nucleotide ribosomal RNA is filed under the name uncultured bacterium. Its description in RNAcentral is "partial 16S ribosomal RNA". It matches the Rfam family "Bacterial small subunit ribosomal RNA", at positions 29 to 507 of the family's 1533-position model. The record is from RNAcentral.